Molecule: ribosomal RNA, 497 nt
Filed under: uncultured bacterium
Lineage: Bacteria
Description: partial 16S ribosomal RNA
Rfam family: Bacterial small subunit ribosomal RNA
Source: RNAcentral
GAUGAACGCUGGCGGCGUGCCUAAUACAUGCAAGUCGAGCGAACAGACGAGGAGCUUGCUCCUCUGACGUUAGCGGCGGACGGGUGAGUAACACGUGGAUAACCUACCUAUAAGACUGGGAUAACUUCGGGAAACCGGAGCUAAUACCGGAUAAUAUAUUGAACCGCAUGGUUCAAUAGUGAAAGACGGUUUUGCUGUCACUUAUAGAUGGAUCCGCGCCGCAUUAGCUAGUUGGUAAGGUAACGGCCUACCAAGGCGACGGUGCGUAGCCGACCUGAGAGGGUGAAUCGUCCAACUUGAACUGAGACCAGGGUCAGACCCCUAAGGGGGGCAGGAGUGGGGAAAUUUGCCCCAAUGGGCGAAGGCUUGACGGAGCAUCGCGGGGGGGUUAAGAAAGUUCUCCGAUUCGUAAAACUCUGUUAUUGGGAAAAAACAAAGUUGGAUGUAACCUUGCUCGUCUGGACGGUACCUAAGCAGAAAGCCACGCUUAAUUCGUG